Molecule: non-coding RNA, 10396 nt
Organism: Heterocephalus glaber (naked mole-rat)
Lineage: Eukaryota; Metazoa; Chordata; Mammalia; Rodentia; Bathyergidae
Source: RefSeq, a predicted model, not a curated record
GUGCAAGGUCCCGAGUUUGAUCCCUGGUACCAAAAAAAAAAAAAAAAAGAAUAACCAAGAUACACAUUGCUCUUAUUUCUGAGAUGUUGUAUGCCCUGUGUUUAUAUUAUUCUAGAGAGCAACGAACACUUGUUUUACCCAUAAAGUCUUCAUGUCUUAUAUUUUACAGAGCAUUUCCCUCCAAAUACAUUAAAUGUCUUCUACUUAGUAUUGUUCUUUACAUCCUCUUUUCGUAAUAGACAAUCAGGGUCUAUUUUUAACAUUUUUUUCCCUCAUCCUUACACCAUCUCCAUUAUGCUCUCUUUUCAAGCCCUAUCAAUAGCUAUUGCCUGUGGCUGGUAUGCGCUAAGUUUGCUGUUCUUAAUCAGGAAAGAGAUGAGAAGCCCUACCACAGUUCUUGUUUUUUUCCAAAGAAUUUCUUCUCUUCUUCCUUCUCCUGCUCUCCUCCCUGCUUUUCUUUUUAAAUUAGAGGUCACUGUGGGGCCGGGGAUGUGACUCAGUGGUAGAGUCCUGCCUGGAUUGUGCAAGGGAAGGCCACAGUCUGAGUUCUAAGGCCACAAAAAAUAAAUAAAAUAAAAUGACAUAAAAUUAGAUUAAAUUGCAGGCCAUGGAAUUUGCAGGAUUCCUGUAAUUUCAAACCUCAGCUCUUCCCUGGUGAGCAGCUAUGGUGUUUGAGGUCUUUACUAAGGUGACAGGAAGACAGUCUGGACCAAGGAUGCUCUCUCCUCAGGGAAAACAGGGAAAUUUAUGAAAAGCAACAAUUCUUUGGAGCCACCCCCCCCCCCAUACAACUGCUUAAUGCAAAAAAAAAGAUGACAACGUAGCAUGCUUCUGUGACCAGAUAUGUGGGAUUUCCCCACAUUCAUCAGUUCUCUGACACCGGGCCAUCGUACAGUUCAAUUCCGACACCACCUACCUGGAGAUAGUGUCAGACCCUGCAGGUGAAGAGCUCAGCUUCACAAAACUGCCUCAUACACCAGCUACUGCUGCAUGUUUCCGGUUUACUCACGACUUCAGUUCAGCUGGGGUACAAAUCCAAGGCCCCCACAGUCCCCUUCUUGUUUGAUCACAGAGGUCACAGAAACUCUCCUUCCUUUACCCACUUCUUACUAAUGGGUACAGCCCAGGAACAGCCACCUGGGAGGAGGCAUAGGGCUGACAGAGGAGAAAGGGGUACAGCGAUCCCGAGUCCUCUCCGGAGUGCCAUCCUCCCUGCACCCAUGUUUGUUCCUAUUCACCAGUACGGAAGCUCCCUGAACCCCACAGUUCAGGGACUUUUCUAGAGGCUUCAGCGUGUUAGGGUGACCGGUGAUGAACUCACCCCCCGGCUCUCUCCCUUACCAGAGGAUGCCUUGUGGGGCUGAGAGUUCCAAGGUUCUCUCUUGGCGUAGUCUUUCCAGUGACCGGGCCCCAUCCAAGACCUGCUCAUUAGAACAAAAGAGGGUCUUAUUGCCCAGGAAAUCCUAUGCAAUUCUGGAGCUCUGUGUCAGCUGUCAGGUACUGGGUCAAAAACCAAAUGUUAAGACCAAAGAUACUGCCAUAUUGAUCAGGGAAUGCCAAGGGUUUGGGGAGCUCCGUGCCAGGAAUCGGGCACCAAGACCAAAAGACCUGCUUCUCAUUAGAAAUCACAGUGAUCGAUCAUAGCAUCACACAGCCCGGGUGGUGUCUGCAGCGAGGUGGGCCUGCCUGCUUUCCGGCUAGGAGAGAUGCAGGUCCUUCCUCACCAGUGGCAGUGAUGGCCAGUGUCGGCCUGGACUUAGAAGCUCCUGAGCAGCAGACAUAGCUCCGUAGCUAACGUAAGACACAGAACACGCCUUGUACAGUCUUCUGGUGGCUGAGCAAAGGAAGUGGAGUCCGUAAGAAUUGGCAACAUGGAAACAAAAGGAUUGGACUUGAGGAUGGCAAAGACCCAGGUAAGGUGGCAUCCUUAUUGUUUAAAAAAACAAGACUGGCUCCUUGGGUAGCUUAAUUAUUGACAAAUUUCCUUCCCUUUCCUUCCAUCCCUCCCUCCUUCCUGUGCACGUCCAUGGCCUUUCUGUGGGGUCUGCUCUCUCUUUUGAAGCCUAACUGGAGCUGCUUCCCUCCCUUCUCCAGCCCUGGUGCCUGCAAGUCAGCCUGUGUGUGAGGUGGGCAGGAACCUGGUGGCUGUCCCCCCUAGCAAACUCCAUCAGGGCAGCGCUGGGCCGCGGAGGGGAGCAGGCAGAUUUCUGGAACAGUGCUUGCCUGGAAUGCUCUGUGUCCUCCCAGACCCCUGUUGCUCUGCUGGCGAUGCAGAGUCUGUGCUGCAGUCUAAUCGCUGCUGAGAAUCCUGGUACUUCCAGAAAUUCCUCUCUGGCCCGUGUUGGGCUUCAUCUUGUACACAGAGGGGAGCGGAGGGAAGGAAGAUGGAGUGCUGCUCUGUGGCCUGCCUGGGAAGACCUCCGUUUUGUACGGCUUUCGCUCUCAGGGUGAUAAGCUCUUCACCGAGCGCAGUGAAUUUGCUCCUGCCAGCCUCUGGGCCAGCUUCAUCCUCCGGAAAAUCAAGGCAGCAAGUCCUCUGGAGGAGCCGCGGCCCUGUUUUCUAGGCGGGCAGACGACUCUGCAGACAAGGCGAGGACGCGCGGCUGCGACUCACCUCGGCCGCAGACGGGGCUCCGAGGAGCUGCAGGCCUCCGGGCCUUAGGCUGCCCUCACCCUCCGCUGAGGGAUGAGGAGGGUGCGGGCUGCUACUGUCAUCACUGGAAACCCCCACAGUCCGGUAAACUCAGGGACCAGGGAUCUUCAGGUGCACCGUGGCCUGGGCCCGGCAGCGCAAAGUCCCCUCUCAGGCCCGCUCUGCACACACAGGGCCUCUGCGGCCCGCCAGGCCCCUCUCUUCCCCCGCAGGGCCCGGGGUCUGGGGCAGGGGCUGUCUUCCUUCUGCCCACCCCACCCCACCCAGCCUCACCCAGCUCCUUCUGCACGCUCAGUGCGGAUAACAGUGCAGGGCACUGCUCUAUGCCCCUCUGAGUCGCUCCUGUGAAUAAACGCUUGGGGUGUGGAAUCGGAGCCCUGUGGCAGCCUGGAACCAGGGACUCAGGUCUUGCUAAAUUGCCCAAGUGGGACUUGAACGUGUGUUUCUCCUGUCUUGGCCACCCAAAGUGCUGCAUCUUUAAAUGACCUUCAAAGUGUUUGUUUGCUUGAGAAGGCCCUCCAGAGAAAUAUGCAAGGAACCUGCUAAAACUCAGCCAGUCACUCUGGCACACUCUUUUAUGUGAACUAAAGUCAACUUCACUCAUUAUCAAACCAAAUUCUCCACCCAGAAGGAUUCCUGCCCUGCACGUUUUUCAAUGUUUUGAACCAUUUUUCUCCAUCAGUUUUUGGAGCACAUGAUGUAGGACCUUGAACUGAGCCUGCUUAGGCAUGUGAAUGUGCCCGCUCUGCAUGUGACGACAGUCUUUCCUGGACGAGUCUGUGGGGAUCCCCCAUGGAAGCCCUGCUCUUCUCUGUCCAGGGAGACACUUCAGUGACAGUCACCCCCAUGCUGCAAGUGAGACUCCUUUCUUCACUCCUAUAUCUUGGUUCUGUUGCUUGGCUUUGCCCUCAUCUGUGGGGAAACUCACUGCGUUUGGUUACAGCUGCUCGAAUGUCCUCACAUAUGGCAACUGGCUAUCCCCAGGAUGAACCAUCCCUGAGAGAGGUGGCAAUGUAUUUCGUGACCUGACCUCAGAAAUCCUGUACAGUCACCUCAGCCAUGUUGUCUCGCUGCAGAAGAGCCCUUAAGUCUGGCUCCCAUUCAAGGUAAAGGACUUAGACUUCAUGUUUUGAAGGCAGGCAGGUCAAAGCAUUAGUGGAUGUCGUUUAGAGAUCUCUUUGUAUAAGUUUGAAAAGCAGAGGUCAUCUUGUGAUUUAGGUGAGGAAGAAAAGGGCCUGCAACCUAACUCAAAAACAGUGGGAACAGGCACAGAAUUGGGAGCCAUUAAAGUGCUGGAAUCCAUGGGGUUUGCAAACCAUUUGCAAUCAGUCUGAACUGAGGGAAACCUGGAGAGGUGGAGGGAGAGUACAGUCAGGACUCACUAAAGGCAAGACGUUUCCGGGCAGCGAAAUGGGCAUUUCACAGAGGCAGGUGUAGAUGCGGUGUGUGUGUGGGUGGAUGGGUGGGGUUGUAAGCAGGAAAUCUAUGAGUGCAAAUGAGAUGACCUUUCUAAAGGGAGUGGCGGAGAGUGGCCCCCAGAUUCCACUUGCUAACGCUGCCGGGCAAUGUGGAGGGUCUUUAGGGGUAGGUGGUCGUGCAUUUGACUGUCUGCCUGGCUACAUGGCUAUGUGGCUACCUCCAACAGAGCUACCUACCUAGUUACAGGUUUGAUGACAGGAGGCAGUGUGAAGACCUUCACUUCUAUGCCUCAGUUUCGCUAUCCAGACAUGGGGCAUAUUAGGACCUACCACAUGGAUCGAUGUAGGAUUAAACGAGAGAGUGGGUACACAUGCUUUAUACAGCUCAUGGGAUUCAGUAAAUGCUCAGUAAAAGGUCAUUAUCAGCAAAUAACACUCUAGUGGGUGGGGCAGUGGUGAGAGAGGGUCAUAAAUACAAACUUGUAGAGAAGAGCUUAUUUUAACAAUUAAUUAAUUAAUUAAUUAAUUAAAGGUGAAGCCUAGGGACGCUCCCUCACUGAGCUAUGCCUCAGUUUAUUUAAUUUGUUUUAUUUUUUGUUUUGAGAUAGAGUCUCACUAAAUUGCCCGGAUAGGACUUCCACUGUCUUAUCCUCCUGCCUCAGCCUCCUGGGUGCUGGGAUUACAGGCAUGCACCACUAUACCCGGCUGGUAGAGCUUAUUGAAUUGGCUGUGAGGCCUUCUGAGGUGUUUUGAGAUGGAAAGGCUUAGAGUCUGGGUCUUAGGUCCCUGCGGGAAGGCUGCUUGGAGGCCUGAGUGUGAGCAGAUCUGACUGCCCGGCUGUCCCCAUGACUACCGUGCAAUGCUGCGUGAACUUUGUUUUGCCCCCUUUCUUUCUGGGCACUUCGAAGCCACUGCACAGUCUGGGGAGCAGAUGGUGAAGGGUUACUGUCCCCUCCUGGGUCUGAGCAGAGCUUGGGGAGGCAGGGAUGAGGGACAGCGAGAGCAAGGCUCUGGCCACUGCAGGGGCCACUGUGCCGAGCACCCUGUCUCUUACUGUCCCGUCGUCCCUGCCGGGUACUGGGGGGACAGCCGAGGAGGGACUCGGUUUUCUGAACUGGCUCCAGUGUGGCGUUCUUGCUCAGAUGAAAAGAAAACCCCUCGUUGUGAAGCACGCCAGACUGGGACAGACACGCGAUGGGCCCUUUUUGUCCUUGGCUGGAGUCAAGCAGGGACGGAAGUGUUCACACGCACUUUCCUUAUGGGACCCAGAGCCGCCAUGAUGCUCCUGACUGUCGUGAGUGCUGUGCAGACUACUGGGAUGUGUGGUGAGAAGUCCAGGGGUCCUGUCCUCGGCUCUAGUCGACCAUCUUGCUCAGAGACUACAAGUCCCAGCAUCCUUUGCAGACGAGCCCGGCAGCCUCAGCCUGCCUUGAAGGAGAGACCCUGAGGUGACCCCCCAGUCCUGGCCACAAGAAAAUGCUCUCUAUCAAAAGACAGUAGAGACCUUUUCACUCCCAGUGGCUUCCUCACACCGCAAGGAGACAGAAACUCAAGACCUCCUCCCUGCUCAUUCAUUGAGCCAAGGACCAGAACUUUGGCAAGCUCGCAGGCUUUGUCAGAUGGGAGCCAUGGCAGUGAAUAAAAAAAGUGAAACCAGAUGUGCUUCCCUCCACUCGCUCCAUAUCCAAGCAGGGACGGAGGGAGGAGGCCGUAAAAAUGUCACAGCCCUUGAUUUCCGAGGCCCAGAUUACGCGCCGGGUAACCUCGCACCGUAAAUCCACGCUUCCGAAGGGGCAGGCCCAGCUGCGUGUGGACGCGAGGAGGCGGCCCUGCCGAGCCAGCUCAAGCCGGAAGGAGGAUGAGAAGACAGCUAGGACCAGACAGACUUCAGGAGCCCACAGAGGCCGGAACUUAUCCUGGUGCCGCUGGGAGCCAUCAGACUGCCGAUUUCCAAAGCUUAUUUUGAGUUGGGCAUGUUGAGGCAUUCAUCUACAAGCCCAGCACUCUGGGAAGCGGAGGCAGGGGGAUCAAAAGUUCAAGCCCAGCCUGUUUCAAAAUAAAAAAUAGCAAAGGGGUGGUACUUAAUGAGACCCUGUUUCAAAGUAAAAAAUACAAAGAGCCGGAAUGAGGCUCAGUGAGAAGGCCCUGCGUUCAGUCCCCAGUACCACAGGCAUACACACGCACACACACACACACACACACACACACACCCCGAGUUAUUUUGCUGGCCAUGGAAAGAACAGAUUAUGCAGCUAUGGGUGAGAAUGUUAGAGAGGAGACAACUUCAGAGGCCAUGACAGACUUCCAAGCUCAAGAUGGUGGCUUAGACGAGAUGGAUGCCAGGAAGCAGAGAAGGGUGCACAAGCUCAGAGGUCGGGGCCAAAGGCAGUGGAAGAACACUGGGACUCCCGUGUGAGCAGCGAGGGCAGCUGAGACAAGGAUCCAGUUUCCUGAAAAGAGAAAGAGUUUGUUUUGGACGAUUUAAGUUAGAAACCCUAUUGACAUCCCGGUGGAUGUUUCAGAUAAUUGGAUAUAUGGGUUUAGAGAUAGGUCAGGACUGGGGUCAGGGCUGGGGUGUACAUUUGUGAAUCAAGUCACAGAAGAUGUUUAACAAGGAAUUAUGGCAUGGAUAAAUCAAUAGGAACAGAGUUGCUUGCCCUGGCUGCUCCUGCUGUUGACAUUGCUGCUACAGCCACCUUCUGCCUCUGUGUGGCCACCCGACUAGAGCCAGAGGAUCUGAGGUUGUGGCUGCAUGUGCUCACGUGGCUGUUGCUUCUUGCUUUGCCAAGGAUGCCAGCUGUCAUUGGUGGGUCUGCGUAGCUGAGCCCAGAGGUGCCACUUCUGCUGUUAAACAUGGCACCAUGGCAACAGAGCUCCUCACCAUCUUGACCCAGCCCAGCAGGACUCCUCUCCAGUUCUCCAUUUCUUUCUUCAUGCAUCAUCUGGCUCAGAUUUUCCACUCUCCUAACAUUCUCUCAGCUUGUUGACAUUUUUACAGUGGGUAUAACCUUAUUAUUUGGUUUUUAGUCACUUAAUAUCAGCAAUUGGCUUUUUGUUUCAUCCAUGUUGCAUGAAGUGUGGCACUGGUUUCUAGUCUGUCCUAAUGGCUAAGUCCUGACAGCUGACUUUGCCCUGGGCUCCUAGGUGUCUGACCAGCUGAUGGCCGGAGCAUCACUGAUCACUGUGGGAUUGGUCAGGAUCAUACUCGUCUGCGAUGCCUGUUGACAAGAACACAGGUCCUGGUCUCCCAUUCUGUCCAUGAUUAUUGUAUUUCAUGCAAUUUCCAUUUUACACAGCAACCAUGUUUUGUAUUUGUUCCAAUUUAAAUAGUAGCAAAUGUUCAGUUCAGUGGGUUCUUCAUAUGAAAUGGCUCAACAGCCUCCUCCCUCCUCCAAGUAAGUCUGAAAACAGAUGUGAGCUCAUAUUGUAGAGCUAAACACUGCACUUGUGUGACUGAAGCCGGCUCAGAUGCUCCGGGACAGCUGAGCAUCGUGGUGGGAAUUAUUGUGCUCUAGUGUGCAGCCCUGGCCCUACUUAUUUAAUCCUGGGAUGGACCCUGUUUCUCUACACCUGUGAGCCUCCAUCCCCUGAGGAAUCCUUGAAGCUCUUAGAAGUCUCUGAAAGAAACAAAUGGAGCCCACAGUGUAGGGCAGGGUAUUUGCUUGGCUUUUGGUGAUAUCUGAAUCACUCCCUAGACUGGGUAUGUGAUGCUGUCCCACUUGGGAGCCUUGGUACUGAGAACUGGGGUGACAAUGGAUGUGUGCAGUGUAUGAAAGGGGUGGACCCUUAGAUCACCCAGAGCAAGGAUGUGGAGUAAGACUGAGAACCAGGGAGAGGCCCCAGGGGCAGCACCCACAGGUCAAGGCGGCUAGCAGGAAGCCAACUCCUGAAGGGUGACAGGGGAAGAUUGUUGGGUGGGAAGUAGGUGUGGGUGGGAAAGCAGGGAAUGGCAUCAUGGAGGCUGGGGGAGAAGUUCAGUCCAGUUCUGGAAGGAAGAAUGGUGAGUCAGCCCACUGCAGAGACACCAGAUGAGAAUGCAAGUCAGCAGCACCUGGUGGCUUUAACAACAGUUGGUCAGUGGAGAAAUGUUGCAUCAGGAAGUUAGAAAAUGAGCCACAAAAACACUGGGUGAAGCUAUGCAGAGAGAAUCUGGCAAACAGAUUCAGGGCAGGGGCCAGAAGACAGGCGCAGUGUUGAGGUUGGGAUCUGAUCUGCUUGGUUUUGUGCACUCAGCUUUGCUUGGAGGUUUGGGUGGGGGUUUAAUGGGAUUUAUUUCAAAGAGAACACACAUGUGGAAGAAGGCUAUGAGUGCCAGAAAAAGGCAGAGAGAGUAACAGACUGAGAGAGCCAUUCACUUUUCAAAAUCAACUACUCAGUCCACACCUUCACAGCUCAAGCUCACCUCUCCCAGGCCCAAUAAAAGUGUCACAGCCCUGUCCCUGAAGCUGUUUGGGGCAACUCUGCUAUUGCUGGGAGACACCAUAGUUCCUUCUUAUUCAAGGUUUUGCUUCUUGGUGUUUAAGUUACCAGUGUUCAACUGUGGUCCAAAAAUAUUAAAUGGAAAAUUCCAGAAGUAAGCAAUUCACCAGUUUUAAGCUGUAUAUCCUUCUGCACGGCAUGAUGAAAUCUCAUGCAGUUUCAUGUCAUCCCACCUGGGAUACAAAUGAUCCCCUUGUCCAGCGUAUCCACACUGUAUAUGCUACCCGCUUUGUAGUCACUUAGUAGAUAGCCUGAUUAUCAAAUUGAUUGUUGAAAUAUUAUAGUGCUUAUGUUAAAUAACCUUUAUUUUGCUUUUAACAAUAGCUCCAAAGUGCAAGAGUGGUGAUACUAGCAUCUUUAUUAUAAUAUAUUGUUAUAAUAGUUCUAUUUUAUUAUUAGUCGUUAAUCUCUUCCUGCACCUAAUUAAUAAAUGAAACCUUAUCACAAGUGUGUGUGUAUAGAAAUAUAGCGUAUGUAGGAUUUAAUACUACAGUUUCUGGCUUCCACUGAGGGUCUUGGAACAUACUUCUAUCGAGAAGGGGAUAACAGUGUUUUUGUUGUCUUUAUCAUAGUUGUGGUUUUCAUGGAGAGAAUCUUGGUGAUGCAAUGAAGGGGACACAUGGAGAGGUGGAUGAGAAAAGAUGGAAGAGAGAAAGGAGGAGGGCAGAGAGGGGCAGCACAAAGCACAGGGGACAAGAGGCAAGGGCAAGGUGGACGUGAGUCAGGGAGCUCAGGCUCCCCCCGUCCAGCUCUGCUUUCCCUGCGUAGUCAGAGGCAAGGCCGCCUGCUGAGUGGGACCACGGAGGUGUGACGGGACUUGAUGGAGGCCCCUGAGGCAGAGCUCCUGUGAGGACUGAGCAGGGGCUGGGAGAGGACUGCCGAUCCCCGCACACCUGGCUGCCCCAGUGGUGUUCCUGAUGCCCUGCUGUAGGUGGUCUGGUCAUGAUGGCGGAAGGAAGAGGGUGUGUGGGAAUUAGGGGAGGACACAAAGGUCAAGACAGGUGAGACAAUCAGUCAAAGGGAGCAAAGGGAGCAGCAUGGGCCACAGCAAUCCAUUUUCUUCUUCUUCCACCCACUCCCAGGUGCCUUACGGAAGAACAUACGUAUUUGCUUCCUGUUUUUAUCCUGAGAGAAGUGUCUGCGGUAAGUCACACACUGAGGAAGAGCCAGGAGAGAAUGUGGGCAGUGGUGGCUGGCGCUGGGAAGGGGAGGAGCAGAGCUCUGGUGAUAGACCGGACUGCCAGAGUGCUGUGUUCCCUAGUAGGUUUUAUUUUUAGGACUCUUUCGGGGCCAUAGCCAAAUGGAACAGAUACCACAGUGUUCCUAUGGACCCCAGUCUUCUCACCAAACCAAAGGGGUCUGUUUGCUACAACCAAGGAGCCUACACUGGCACUUCACUGUCUCCUGAAGUCCAGAGUUCACAUUAGCAUUCCCUCUCCGUGUUGCACAUUGUAUGGGUUGUGACCACGUAUCCACCAUUACAGUAUCAAUAUCAAAUGGAACAGGUUUCACUGCCCCACCUGUUCAUUCCUCCUUCCCGUGAGCCCUGACAGCCACUGAUCUUUUCCUGUCCCCAGGGCUUUACCUUCCCAGAAUGUCGUGUCGGUGGAAUCACACAGGAUACAGACCUUACGCAUUGUCUUCUUUGACUUAGCCACAUGCAUUUAAGGUCCCUGCAUGAGCUUGACGCCCACAUCUUUUUCACACCGAGUAAUAUUCCAACGAUCUGGACGUACCACAGCUUAUGUAUCCAUCCAUCUACCAAAAGACAACUUCAGAGCUCAAAAGUUUGGCAAUUAUGGAUAAAGCCUCUAAUUUCUUUUUUUUUUUUUUGUACCAGGAAUCA